AACUCGGCUGCAUGAAGCUGGAAUCGCUAGUAAUCGCGGAUCAGAAUGCCGCGGUGAAUACGUUCCCGGGUCUUGUACACACCGCCCGUCACACCAUGGGAGUAGGUAAUGCCCGAAGUCGGUGACCUAACCGGAAGGAAGGAGCCGCCGAAGGCAGGACUUAUAACUGGGUGAAGUCGUAACAAGGUAUC
Molecule: ribosomal RNA, 191 nt
Filed under: uncultured bacterium
Lineage: Bacteria
Description: partial 16S ribosomal RNA
Rfam family: Bacterial small subunit ribosomal RNA
Source: RNAcentral